GCUGAUGCUGGUAACCCUGUCAUAGCAAUGGGAUGUGAUUCUUGAAUACAAAGUACUGAUGGAGAAGAUAAAAGAAUACAACAAAAAGGAUGCUAAAUUUUAUGGAAAUAUGUUUGCCAAGAUGACUAAAUCAUCAUCCAAUAAAGCAAAGGAAGCAGAACCAAUGACCCGCUUCAUUUUUAGUAACGUUUAUUUAACCAUACGUAUUGACCCAUGACUCACCAUGCCGCUUAAGUUUUGAACCAUGAGUUUCUUACCAAAAAAUGCUCAUUUGACCCGGUUCUGUUUUGAGCCAUGACUCAACAUGUUGCUUUUACUGCCUCUAGCAAAAUUUCAUCAGCAAUAUACACAUUACUUUUUAAUUGAGUCUUAAAUCAUAAGUAGAUAAUAG
Long non-coding RNA from Helianthus annuus (common sunflower), 391 nucleotides. RefSeq lists it as uncharacterized. The record is from RefSeq and is a predicted model, not a curated record. The transcript has 3 exons. NCBI's taxonomy places the organism in Eukaryota, Viridiplantae, Streptophyta, Magnoliopsida, Asterales, Asteraceae.